GACUUCCAAUUAAAUCAUUCAUUGCCCUCCUAAACUGUGUGUUGAUGGCAUCAAUGUAUUAGAUUUGGCUUUAAUUUCUCCGAAAAUUACACCUUUCACAGCUUUCCUCACUUAGAGACAGUUACUAGGUGAUAGCAACAAAUACAGCACGUAGCUGCCCGUUCUAUUCGCCUCAGAAAAAUAAACUGGACAAAGUUACAGUUCUACCAUGAGUUCUA
This is a long non-coding RNA of Sander lucioperca (pikeperch), 218 nucleotides long. RefSeq lists it as uncharacterized. The record is from RefSeq and is a predicted model, not a curated record. The transcript is spliced from 3 exons. Lineage: Eukaryota; Metazoa; Chordata; Actinopteri; Perciformes; Percidae.